AGUUGAUGGUGAAGUUUGGAGAAUUGUAUGGAUCGUCUAUGCGUUUAAAAUGUAAGAUGCCGACAGAGGAUUUGGAUGUUUUGGUAUCGAUUACCUGUGACGAAGACCUGGCUAAUGUGAUUGAAGAGUACGAUCGAGUUUCAGCAAUGACGAAUACAGAGAUGAAGAUUAGGGCGUUAUUAUCUCCAAUAAAUUUGCCGAAAAAGGACUCUCGUCCGUCUUCGCCAAUGUCUUGCUUUGAUUUUGCUGCGUCGAGCUUGAAGCCCGGAAAAUUCGUCCAGUUCAAUUCGCCUCCGUCGUAUGCGGCGGCGCGUAGACUGUUCUCACCAGUUGUGGGUUACCCGACCGGGAGACGAACAGACGGCGAGGAGCUUUACUAUCCGUACUGUGGACAGGCAGGCGUCAAGCCUCUGUAUAACGUUGUUCCUAUCCAUUGCCAAUAGAAAAAAGAUACCCGAGAGGUAGAGGUAGUUACAGUAUUGCCGGAGAGUUGUUUACAUAGAUGAAACGAAUCUCCUUCCCACCCACAAAAAAGGGUCAGAUAAACAAAAUAUUCAUCAUCACAUCAAAUAACAAAAAGACUCAUUCAAUAUAAUAUUUUGAUGCUUGAUUCAAAUUGUAUAUUGCUUGAGAUUAUUGCUUAUUCAAUUGUGAGCUCGAUUUAGGAUUCGAGCUGAUAUAUUGUUAUCUAAAUUCUAUGAUUGGCGUUUUGUUGCUCUGGGUUGUCUAUAUGGCACAAUCCCUCCAUCGUUGAGCUUUACCCAUGGUGAGCAAGUGGUAAGAUCUGAGUACAUCUAUUAUAGUUAUUCACUUGUUCUUGUUUUCUUGAGUGUUAAAACUUAGAACGAAGGGUGAAGAUAUAUACUUCAUUU
Molecule: unclassified non-coding RNA, 872 nt
Filed under: Hevea brasiliensis (rubber tree)
Lineage: Eukaryota; Viridiplantae; Streptophyta; Magnoliopsida; Malpighiales; Euphorbiaceae
Source: RNAcentral